This 231-nucleotide ribosomal RNA is filed under the name uncultured bacterium. RNAcentral's name for it is "partial 16S ribosomal RNA". It matches the Rfam family "Bacterial small subunit ribosomal RNA", at positions 15 to 237 of the family's 1533-position model. The record is from RNAcentral.
GAUCAUGGCUCAGGAUGAACGCUAGCUACAGGCUUAACACAUGCAAGUCGAGGGGCAGCGGGAUUGAAGCUUGCUUCAAUUGCCGGCGACCGGCGCACGGGUGAGUAACACGUAUCCAACCUCCCGCAUACUCGGGAAUAGCCUUUCGAAAGAAAGAUUAAUGCCCGAUGGUUUCAAGGGAUUGCAUGGUAUCUUGAAUAAAGAUUCAUCGGUAUGCGAUGGGGAUGCGUU